RNAcentral lists this ribosomal RNA (238 nucleotides) under uncultured bacterium. RNAcentral's name for it is "partial 16S ribosomal RNA". It matches the Rfam family "Bacterial small subunit ribosomal RNA", at positions 15 to 235 of the family's 1533-position model. The record is from RNAcentral.
GAUCCUGCUCAGGACGAACGCUGGCGGCGUGCUUAACACAUGCAAGUCGAACGGAGCACCCUUGACUGAGGUUUCGGCCAAAUGAUAGGAAUGCUUAGUGGCGGACUGGUGAGUAACGCGUGAGGAACCUGCCUUCCAGAGGGGGACAACAGUUGGAAACGACUGCUAAUACCGCAUGACGCAUGACCGGGGCAUCCCGGGCAUGUCAAAGAUUUUAUCGCUGGAAGAUGGCCUCGCG